This is a long non-coding RNA of Dipodomys spectabilis (banner-tailed kangaroo rat), 787 nucleotides long. RefSeq lists it as uncharacterized. Lineage: Eukaryota; Metazoa; Chordata; Mammalia; Rodentia; Heteromyidae. The record is from RefSeq and is a predicted model, not a curated record. The transcript is spliced from 2 exons.
CCUUGUCUUGCUGUCAUUCUUCGUGUCUCUUGACCCUUCAUUCCUUUUAGCUUAGGUUCACUGCCCUCGUUGACGUCCUGCGGGUCAGGACAACUGGCGCCCAACAUGGGGCACAAGCCUCUGACUAAGGAAGGAACGUCGUCCUCCGGGAAAACUUGGCCAAGUACAGUCCGAGAUCGCCUUGACAGACCCCACCGAGAGACAGAUCCAGGAGGAGAGUGAGGACGAUGCAAGGAAAAUGGAUUUGUAUGGGUGAGGACCUGGCCCACACGGAGCUGUUUUUAUUCUUCACCACCAUUUUACAGCACUUCAAUCUGAAAUCUCUCACUGACCCAAAGGAUCUCGAUACCACUCCAGUUGCCAAAAGAUUGGUUUCUGUGCCCCCCAAGUACCAGCUUUGUUUCAUUCCUGCCUGAAGGAGAGCAGACACUGUAGCGCUUGCUGUGCUAUCAUCUGCAACCUACUACUCUAGAAAUCAUUCUUCCAUCCCCCUAUACUCCCAUCUAGGAUGCCUUCUCUGUCUUUGCUUCAUACCUCUCAAUUUCUGCAAGAUCAUUGGAAGUCCCAACUUCCAUUACAGAGAGGGACUUGAGUCACUGCACAAAUAUAUCUGCUGUUCCUUAUGUUCUAUAUUACAUGUAAUGUAUUGAUAAUGUCAUGUCCUAAUCCUUAUUGGAUGGUCAGUUAUUAGCAUAUUAACACUCUCAAUGAGCAAAAAGAUCAGAAUAUGGAAAUUCACAGCCACAUCUCUCCUGCAUAUCCUGAAUAAAAAGCAUUAUUAACUUCU